AAUUCAUCACACAGGCCAAUUCACUCCAAACUACACGUCCAAACCAUCUCAUAUUCAUUUCAGAUUGCAUUUGCACCAAGUUUUGGGCCUCACAUGCGCCUGUACAGGCCCAUACAUGGAGGACCCAAUUCACAUGCACACGAGUUUGAUCAUGCAUUGCAUCAGCUCUUGCUAUAAAUACACUUGCUUGCUUCACUUGAAAGAACCCUGGAAUCAACCUGAAUUGCUGCAGAAAUC
RNAcentral lists this long non-coding RNA (237 nucleotides) under Lathyrus oleraceus (garden pea). Its description in RNAcentral is "Pisum sativum (pea) long non-coding RNA (PSAT_LNC001201)". Lineage: Eukaryota; Viridiplantae; Streptophyta; Magnoliopsida; Fabales; Fabaceae. The record is from RNAcentral.